UACGAAGGGGGCUAGCGUUGUUCGGAUUUACUGGGCGUAAAGCGCACGUAGGCGGAUCGUUAAGUCAGGGGUGAAAUCCUGGGGCUCAACCCCAGAACUGCCUUUGAUACUGGCGAUCUCGAGUCCGGAAGAGGUGAGUGGAACUCCUAGUGUAGAGGUGGAAUUCGUAGAUAUUAGGAAGAACACCAGUGGCGAAGGCGGCUCACUGGUCCGGUACUGACGCUGAGGCGCGACAGCGUGGGGAGCAAACAGG
Molecule: ribosomal RNA, 253 nt
Filed under: uncultured bacterium
Lineage: Bacteria
Description: partial 16S ribosomal RNA
Rfam family: Bacterial small subunit ribosomal RNA
Source: RNAcentral